RNAcentral lists this transfer RNA (63 nucleotides) under Lamprotula leaii. RNAcentral's name for it is "tRNA-Glu". Lineage: Eukaryota; Metazoa; Mollusca; Bivalvia; Unionida; Unionidae. The record is from RNAcentral.
GCUAAUUAGGUGUUUUGCACAUUGACUUUUCGCGUCAAGGGAGCAUAUCAACUGCACUUAGCU